RNAcentral lists this ribosomal RNA (498 nucleotides) under uncultured bacterium. Its description in RNAcentral is "partial 16S ribosomal RNA". It matches the Rfam family "Bacterial small subunit ribosomal RNA", at positions 30 to 523 of the family's 1533-position model. The record is from RNAcentral.
AUUGAACGCUGGCGGCAUGCCUUACACAUGCAAGUCGAACGGUAACAGGUCUUCGGAUGCUGACGAGUGGCGAACGGGUGAGUAAUACAUCGGAACGUGCCUAGUAGUGGUGGAUAACUACUCGAAAGAGUGGCUAAUACCGCAUGAGAUCUACGGAUGAAAGCAGGGGAUCGCAAGACCUUGUGCUACUAGAGCGGCCGAUGGCAGAUUAGGUAGUUGGUGGGAUAAAGGCUUACCAAGCCGACGAUCUGUAGCUGGUCUGAGAGGACGAUCAGCCACACAGGGACUGAGAGACGGCCCAGACUCCUACGGGAGGCAGGAGGGGGGAAUGUUGGACAAUGGGCGCAAGCCUGAUCCAGCAAUGCCGCGUGCAGGAUGAAGGCCUUCGGGUUGUAAACUGCUUUUGUACGGAACGAAAAGCCCUGGGUUAAUACCCUGGGGUCAUGACGGUACCGUAAGAAUAAGCACCGGCUAACUACGUGCCAGCCGCCGCCGUAA